This 253-nucleotide ribosomal RNA is filed under the name uncultured bacterium. RNAcentral's name for it is "partial 16S ribosomal RNA". It matches the Rfam family "Bacterial small subunit ribosomal RNA", at positions 524 to 776 of the family's 1533-position model. The record is from RNAcentral.
UACAGAGGUCCCAAGCGUUGUUCGGAUUCACUGGGCGUAAAGGGUGCGUAGGUGGCGAGGUAAGUCGGAUGUGAAAGCUCGGAGCUCAACUCCGAAAUGGCAUUGGAAACUACCUUGCUCGAGGGUUGGAGGGGGGACUGGAAUACUUGGUGUAGCAGUGAAAUGCGUAGAUAUCAAGUGGAGCACCAGUGGCGAAGGCGAGUCCCUGGACAACUCCUGACACUGAGGCACGAAAGCUAGGGGAGCAAACAGG